Sarcophilus harrisii (Tasmanian devil) is the source of this 494-nucleotide long non-coding RNA. RefSeq lists it as uncharacterized. The record is from RefSeq and is a predicted model, not a curated record. The transcript is spliced from 3 exons. NCBI's taxonomy places the organism in Eukaryota, Metazoa, Chordata, Mammalia, Dasyuromorphia, Dasyuridae.
UAGAGAAAAGAAAUACCCAAGAAAGUCCAAGAAAAUCUAGAGGACCUACCCCAAAUCUAGCUAAUGGAGCCUGUGCUUGACUCUAUAUGCCUGCUGCUACCACCACAACUGACCACUUCAGUAAACACUACAGCCACAGAUUUAUUGGCCUUCUAGGGCCUCAUGACCUUCUGAAAUUUACAAGGUCACCUGGGCUCAUCCAUCUUGAGAAAUUUGCUUAUGGACUGGGGGUUGAACGCAAGUCACUAGAAGGUAGCAACAAAAUACUGCUACCUUCUACUCCACAUUAUAUGUGACUUAAAAAUAAAGCAGGCUUUGAUGAUCUCUCCUAACGGAAGCAAGCAACACUAAGAUAUCAACUAAUAGAGAAUCAAAGUAUCCUGUAGGAUAUUUGAAAAUAGUCAUACCUUCCCUUAGUCUUCUCUCUCUUAUCUGUAUCUCUUGUCUCUGAAUUCAUCAAUGUCCCUCCUAGAAUAUAACAUCUUUUAAAAAAA